GGAAGGAUCAUUAUUGAUUUUAAACAGGAUGUGCUGAUCUCUCUCAAAAGGGGGGGAUAAUGUGCACUCCUAACAAAACCAAUAUCCACCUGUGCACCUUCUGUAGGCAAGUAGGGUUACUUUUACCAGUUCCCCCCUUGUCUAUGUUUUUUUCACAAACACUGCUCCAAAUUCCAUGAAUGACAUUUGUAAUAAUAUAAAUACAACUUUCAACAAUGGAUCUCUUGGUUCUCGCAUCGAUGAAGAACGCAGCGAAUUGCGAUAUGUAAUGUGAAUUGCAGAAUUCAGUGAAUCAUCGAAUCUUUGAACGCACAUUGCACCCUCUGGUAUUCCGGAGGGUAUGCCUGUUUGAGUGUCAUUAACAUAUCAACACAGACAAGUUUCUUUCACUCAAAGGACUUGCUUCUGCUGUUUUGGAUGUUGAAGGCAUGCUGGCAAGUCACUUGCCUGCUCCUUUUAAAUUCAUUAGCAGAAACUUUGCAGAACUGGCUUCAGUUUGAUAAGAUUGGACUGCUGCUAGGGAACAUUACCAUUGUUUCAGCUUAUAACUGUCCAACUCACUUGGACUGCCUCUAACCCUUGAGGCAUCAAUUGACAACUUGACCUCAAAUCAGGUAGGAUUACCCGCUGAACUUAAGCAUAUCAAUAAGCGGAGGAAAAGAAACUAACAAGGAUUCCCCCAGUAACUGCGAGUGAAGAGGGAAAAGCUCAAAUUUAAAAUCUGGCAGUCUUUGGCUGUCCGAGUUGUAAAUUAGAGAAGCGUCAUCCGCGCUGGCCUGUGCAUAAGUCUCUUGGAAAAGAGCAUCAUAGAGGGUGACAAUCCCGUCUUUGGCAUGGACUACCAGGGCUUUUGUGAUGCGCUCUCGAUGAGUCGAGUUGUUUGGGAAUGCAGCUCUAAAUGGGUGGUAAAUUCCAUCUAAAGCUAAAUAUUGGCGAGAGACCGAUAGCGCACAAGUACCGUGAGGGAAAGAUGAAAAGAACUUUGAAAAGAGAGUUAAACAGUACGUGAAAUUGUUGAAAGGGAAACGCUUGAAGUCAGUCGCAUCCUUCAGAAAUCAACCUGACCGACUCUAGGUCUGGUGCACUUUCUGUUUGGAUGGGUCAGCAUCAAUUUUGAUCGUUGGAAAAAGGCUUAGGGAAAGUGGCAUCUCCGGAUGUGUUAUAGCCCUUUGACCACAUACAGCGGUUGGGAUUGAGGAACUCCAUGUCCCUCGGGACAGUGCAGGAUGCUGGCACAAUGGCUUUAAUCGACCCGUCUUGAAACACGGACCAAGGAGUCUAACAUACAUGCGAGUGUUUGAGUGGAAAACUCAAGCGCGUAAUGAAAGUGAAAGUUGAGAACCCUGUCGUGGGGUGCAUCGAUGCCCGGACCUGACCUUUUGUGAUGGACCUGCGGUAGAGCAUGCAUGUUGGGACCCGAAAGAUGGUGAACUAUGCCUGAAUAGGGUGAAGCCAGAGGAAACUCUGGUGGAAGCUCGUAGCGAUUCUGACGUGCAAAUCGAUCGUCGAAUUUGGGUAUAGGGGCGAAAGACUAAUCGAACCAUCUAGUAGCUGGUUCCUGC
This 1562-nucleotide unclassified non-coding RNA is filed under the name uncultured fungus. Its description in RNAcentral is "sequence contains 18S rRNA gene, ITS1, 5.8S rRNA gene, ITS2, 28S rRNA gene". The stretch from base 601 to 1562 matches the Rfam family "Eukaryotic large subunit ribosomal RNA", at positions 1 to 961 of the family's 3401-position model. The record is from RNAcentral. Lineage: Eukaryota; Fungi.